CAGUCGAGGGGUAUAGUUCUUCGGAGCUAGAGACCGGCGCACGGGUGCGUAACGCGUAUGCAAUCUACCUUUUACAGAGGGAUAGCCCAGAGAAAUUUGGAUUAAUACCUCAUAGUAUAAUGACUCGGCAUCGAGAUAUUAUUAAAGUCACAACGGUAAAAGAUGAGCAUGCGUCCCAUUAGCUAGUUGGUAAGGUAACGGCUUACCAAGGCUACGAUGGGUAGGGGUCCUGAGAGGGAGAUCCCCCACACUGGUACUGAGACACGGACCAGACUCCUACGGGAGGCAGCAGUGAGGAAUAUUGGACAAUGGGCGCAAGCCUGAUCCAGCCAUGCCGCGUGCAGGAUGACGGUCCUAUGGAUUGUAAACUGCUUUUAUACGAGAAGAAACACUCCGACGUGUCGGAGCUUGACGGUAUCGUAAGAAUAAGGAUCGGCUAACUCCGUGCCAGCAGCCGCGGUAAUACGGAGGAUCCAAGCGUUAUCCGGAAUCAUUGGGUUUAAAGGGUCCGUAGGCGGUUUAAUAAGUCAGUGGUGAAAGCCCAUCGCUCAACGGUGGAACGGCCAUUGAUACUGUUAAACUUGAAUUAUUAGGAAGUAACUAGAAUAUGUAGUGUAGCGGUGAAAUGCUUAGAGAUUACAUGGAAUACCAAUUGCGAAGGCAGGUUACUACUAAUGGAUUGACGCUGAUGGACGAAAGCGUGGGUAGCGAACAGGAUUAGAUACCCUGGUAGUCCACGCCGUANACGAUGGAUACUAGCUGUUGGAAGCAAUUUCAGUGGCUAAGCGAAAGUGAUAAGUAUCCCACCUGGGGAGUACGUUCGCAAGAAUGAAAUCAAGGGAAUUGAC
RNAcentral lists this ribosomal RNA (848 nucleotides) under uncultured bacterium. RNAcentral's name for it is "bacterial SSU rRNA". It matches the Rfam family "Bacterial small subunit ribosomal RNA", at positions 59 to 914 of the family's 1533-position model. The record is from RNAcentral.